GACGAACGCUGGCGGCGUGCUUAACACAUGCAAGUCGAACGGAAAGGCCCUGCUUUUGUGGGGUGCUCGAGUGGCGAACGGGUGAGUAACACGUGAGUAACCUGCCCUUGACUUUGGGAUAACUUCAGGAAACUGGGGCUAAUACCGGAUAGGAGCUCCUGCUGCAUGGUGGGGGUUGGAAAGUUUCGGCGGUUGGGGAUGGACUCGCGGCUUAUCAGCUUGUUGGUGGGGUAGUGGCUUACCAAGGCUUUGACGGGUAGCCGGCCUGAGAGGGUGACCGGCCAGAUUGGGACUGAGAUCCGGCCCAGACUCCUACGUGAGGCAGCAGUGGGGAAUAUUGCACAAUGGGCGGAAGCCUGAUGCAGCAACGCCGCGUGCGGGAUGACGGCCUUCGGGUUGUAAACCGCUUUCGCCUGUGACGAAGCGUGAGUGACGGUAAUGGGUAAAGAAGCACCGGCUAACUACGUG
RNAcentral lists this ribosomal RNA (468 nucleotides) under uncultured bacterium. Its description in RNAcentral is "partial 16S ribosomal RNA". It matches the Rfam family "Bacterial small subunit ribosomal RNA", at positions 28 to 507 of the family's 1533-position model. The record is from RNAcentral.